AGUUAAAUAGCUUAAGUAAGCAUAUAUUUUGAAAAUAUAAGAAAAAGGUUUGAAUCCUUUAUUAACUU
RNAcentral lists this transfer RNA (68 nucleotides) under Reduvius gregoryi. RNAcentral describes it as "tRNA-Ser". It matches the Rfam family "tRNA". From Rfam's summary of the family: Transfer RNA (tRNA) molecules are approximately 80 nucleotides in length. Their secondary structure includes four short double-helical elements and three loops (D, anti-codon, and T loops). Lineage: Eukaryota; Metazoa; Arthropoda; Insecta; Hemiptera; Reduviidae. The record is from RNAcentral.